GACGAACGCUGGCGGCGUGCCUAAUACAUGCAAGUUGAGCGCUGGAGGGUGGUACUUGUACCAACUGGAUUAGCGGCGGACGGGUGAGUAACGCGUGGAGAAUCUGCCUUUGAGCGGGGGACAACAUUUGGAAACGAAUGCUAAUACCGCAUAAAAACUUUAAACACAAGGUUUAAGAUUGAAAGAUGCAAUUGCAUCCCCCAAAGAUGAUCCCGCGUUGUAUUAGCUAGGUGGUGAAGUAAAGGCCCACCAAAGGGAAGGUACAUAGCCGACCUGGGAGGGUGGUCGGGCAACACUGGAACGGGGACACGCUCAAAAUCCCACCGGAGGCAGGAGGAGGGAAAUUUCGGCAAUGGACGGAAGUCUUGACGGGGCAAGCCGCGUGAGUGGAGGAGGGUUUUCGAUUGUAAAAACCUGGUGGUAGAGGAGAACGAUGGUGGGAGUGAAAAGCUCAUAUAGUGACGGUACCUAAUCAGAAAGCCACGGCUAACUACGUG
Molecule: ribosomal RNA, 497 nt
Filed under: uncultured bacterium
Lineage: Bacteria
Description: partial 16S ribosomal RNA
Rfam family: Bacterial small subunit ribosomal RNA
Source: RNAcentral